UGGGGAAUAUUGGACAAUGGGGGCAACCCUGAUCCAGCCAUGCCGCGUGAGUGAUGAAGGCCUUCGGGUUGUAAAGCUCUUUUGGCGGGGACGAUGAUGACGGUACCCGCAGAAUAAGCCCCGGCUAACUUCGUGCCAGCAGCCGCGGUAAGACGAAGGGGGCUAGCGUUGUUCGGAAUUACUGGGCGUAAAGCGCGUGUAGGCGGUUGUCCAAGUCGGGUGUGAAAGCCUUGAGCUCAACUCAAGAAAUGCACUCGAUACUGGGCGACUAGAGGACCGGAGAGGAUAGUGGAAUUCCCAGUGUAGUGGUGAAAUACGUAGAGAUUGGGAAGAACACCAGUGGCGAAGGCGGCUAUCUGGACGGUUACUGACGCUAAGACGCGAAAGCGUGGGGAGCAAACA
RNAcentral lists this ribosomal RNA (402 nucleotides) under uncultured bacterium. RNAcentral's name for it is "bacterial SSU rRNA". It matches the Rfam family "Bacterial small subunit ribosomal RNA", at positions 355 to 774 of the family's 1533-position model. The record is from RNAcentral.